RNAcentral lists this transfer RNA (74 nucleotides) under Glycocaulis alkaliphilus. It matches the Rfam family "tRNA". From Rfam's summary of the family: Transfer RNA (tRNA) molecules are approximately 80 nucleotides in length. Their secondary structure includes four short double-helical elements and three loops (D, anti-codon, and T loops). Lineage: Bacteria; Pseudomonadati; Pseudomonadota; Alphaproteobacteria; Maricaulales; Maricaulaceae. The record is from Rfam by way of RNAcentral.
GGCGGGAUAGCUCAGCUGGUUAGAGCGCAGGACUCAUAAUCCUGAGGUCGAGAGUUCAAGUCUCUCUCCCGCUA